This 2263-nucleotide long non-coding RNA is filed under the name Homo sapiens (human). RNAcentral's name for it is "HSALNT0360699". The record is from RNAcentral. Lineage: Eukaryota; Metazoa; Chordata; Mammalia; Primates; Hominidae.
CUAAUGCCGCUGGGUUAGGGUCUCCCUGACCGAGCUGGUCUCGGCAAGACAGACUCUGGAAACAUGGCUAAGACAGAAGGUAAAUGUAGUGGAUUAAGGAGAGAACUGGUGUGGCUUGGUCCUAGAUUCUUGUGUCCAAAACUCUAUACAAAUUAGCUGGAAAAUGACUUCCCUCCCCAAAAAGAAACAACUACAUCAACAAAAACCACAAACAGGAAUCUCCUUGGGAGAGAUUAGUCCUCUACACAUCAAAUAAGGGGAAACCAAGAUCCAUUAAAAAUGCAUCUGCCAGUACAGUAAUUGGUUGACAUUAGACAUAUAUUUCAUUUUGGGUUAGUGAUAACAUACUUUACUAAUUUGGCACCAAUGAAUGUUACCUAAAGAUGUAAUAAUUUAAACCAAAGAAAUCAACAUUAUAUUUCCACUAAAAUCAAUGUCAUGGAAAUAUACUUGGCUGUUUUAACUAUUUUCCUAUGAAUAUGUGGAUUCCAUGCAGGACUCUAUAUGGUAUUUUCACUCUCUCUAACACAUCUUUCUUUUAUAUAUCUAGAUAUCAUACAAAGUAUGGAUCUUGCAAACCAACAUUUUUUUGCCCCAUGACUGUAUCAGAAACAAAUGUACAUAAUGUAUAUUUCUUAUGGUACACUGUUCCAGUAAUGUUUCCCAAUGACAAGUCUCCCUGUAUCCAAGACCUCAUGUAAUGUGCUCUGACGAUGAACUGGGCUUUGCCUUUUGACUUGCGUUGGCCAAUGGGACACAGGCAAAUGUCAUGCAAAUACAGAUUCAAAAAGUAUUUGCCUAAUGGUGCUUGUCUUCUUGGACACAGUCAAAUUGUGAAGAAUCUUGGGGCUACCUGCUGGAAACACAGUGCCUAACAGAGAGCCAGCACAAAUCACAAGACAUGUGAGUAAAGCCAUCUUAAGCCAACCAGCCUCAGUCAAGGCACCAGGUGACUCAACUGUCACUCGUGAUCCAAGCAACACUAACAUAGAAUAUGAACUGCCCAGAUGAACCCACCACAAAAUACAGAUCCAUAGAAGCUUGAACAAAGAAAAUGGUGGUGGUUUUUUAAGCCACUAAGGUCUGAUUACUUUCUUAUAAAGCAAAUGCUAACUGAUACAUCUAAGCCGCCAGAACUUGAUAUAUAUCUAAGAAAAUUAUGUGGGGAAGAAAGUUUUAAUGUGUAUGUCAAAUACAAUCAACACCACUUUGGAAGCACACAAAGAAAUUUUGAAAAUCACAAUGAAUAUCAAAUGGAUGGAAUUCAGUGAGGUGAUUCCAGCUCUUCAUAUAGCUGCUGCCUCACAGAAUUAGGAUGAGUAGUGGGAAGAACUGAGUGUGGGAAUGAAGCAGAUGGGACAGAGUCCAAGAACCCAAAAGCAAGGAGGAAGAGACAGUACCGGGGCAUGAAUAGCCUUGGAGGGUUCCUGACGCCAGCCUGCAGUUCCUGGAGCUCCAGCACCUCAUCCACAACAUUUGCGAAUGGACAAGGCAGGAGUGAGGAAGAAAGGUUUCAUCUUCAGAGAAGAGGUAUCAGUAGUGUAGGGGUGAAGGUGAUGGAAGAAACGGUUGUGGAACAAAAGGAAUAGAAAGCUCCCGGCAAGGAUGGAGGCAGCACUGUUUGUUGGACAACUGAAUUGGCCCAGGUGGCCCCUGCACUCUCAGGUACCUGAGACUCCACCCGCCUUGCCUUACUGUCCACAUUUACUCAUGGUGACAACCCCCGCCCCCAAAUUUCAUUUGAAUGACAUGCGCAGGUGCAUUUGCACUGAGAUCUUUAUUCUAGGCCUGGGGCCUUGGAGCAGUGGGCAAUUGCAACACAGGACAGAGAAGAGAGUAUUGUUUGUGUCCCUGUGAUCAGACACAUGCACACACUACACACACACACACACACACACACACACACACACACACAAGGACACGGGCACAGACAUGGGUAGUAAUGAGACCUAUUAAGUAUUUUCCCCUCCAGUAGGCAGAUGUGCAUGAUACAUAAAUUACAAAUAAGAGGAACCUUGUGAACACAUUUCAAAGGCAAGAUGAGUGAAUAUCGGUGACUUGUGGUUUUCAUGUAUUUUAUAAUUCAGUUCUUGGUAUAAAAUAUAUUUUAUAUUCCAACCUCGUAUACACCUAUACACUCUUGAAAAAUCGAAAGAAGAGUUUCACUGAAGAAAACUUAAUUUCACAAGGUGUGAUACUCUCUGAUGUUUUAUUUUACAUCAUAUACUAGUUCAAUUAAAAAAUAAAUUCAUUAAGCUCAUCA